Molecule: ribosomal RNA, 292 nt
Filed under: Excidobates mysteriosus (maranon poison frog)
Lineage: Eukaryota; Metazoa; Chordata; Amphibia; Anura; Dendrobatidae
Description: partial 12S ribosomal RNA
Rfam family: Bacterial small subunit ribosomal RNA
Source: RNAcentral
GGGAACUACGAGCCAAGCUUAAAACCCAAAGGACUUGACGGUACCCCAUAUCCACCUAGAGGAGCCUGUCCUAUAAUCGAUAACCCCCGUUUAACCUCACCAUCCCUAGUUUAUCAGCCUGUAUACCUCCGUCGUCAGCUUACCGCAUGAGCGUUAGUGGGCUCAAAGUUUUUUCAACUAUACGUCAGGUCAAGGUGCAACAUAUGGAAUGGAAAGAGAUGGGCUACACUUUCUACUUUAGACCACACGAAAAACUACUUAUGAAACCUAGUUAGAAGGCGGAUUUAGAAGU